Molecule: transfer RNA, 73 nt
Filed under: Trichonephila inaurata madagascariensis
Lineage: Eukaryota; Metazoa; Arthropoda; Arachnida; Araneae; Nephilidae
Description: tRNA-Thr
Source: RNAcentral
UCCCCGCCAGUAUGGUGGAUAUGACUCUCGGCUUGUAACCGAGUGAACUCGGAUUCGAAUCCCAAGUAAGGAA